UCCUACGGGAGGCAGCAGUGAGGAAUAUUGGUCAAUGGUCGGGAGACUGAACCAGCCAAGCCGCGUGAGGGAUGAAGGUACAGCGUAUCGUAAACCUCUUUUGUCAGGGAACAAAGGCGGGGACGUGUCCCCGGAUGAGUGUACCUGAAGAAAAAGCAUCGGCUAACUCCGUGCCAGCAGCCGCGGUAAUACGGAGGAUGCGAGCGUUAUCCGGAUUUAUUGGGUUUAAAGGGUGCGCAGGCGGUCUGUUAAGUCAGCGGUCAAAGCCCGGGGCUCAACCCCGGCCCGCCGUUGAAACCGGCAGU
RNAcentral lists this ribosomal RNA (305 nucleotides) under uncultured bacterium. Its description in RNAcentral is "bacterial SSU rRNA". It matches the Rfam family "Bacterial small subunit ribosomal RNA", at positions 337 to 640 of the family's 1533-position model. The record is from RNAcentral.